Molecule: ribosomal RNA, 253 nt
Filed under: uncultured bacterium
Lineage: Bacteria
Description: partial 16S ribosomal RNA
Rfam family: Bacterial small subunit ribosomal RNA
Source: RNAcentral
UACGUAGGGUGCAAGCGUUGUCCGGAAUUAUUGGGCGUAAAGAGCUCGUAGGCGGUCUGUCGCGUCGGCUGUGAAAACCCGGGGCUCAACCCCGGGCCUGCAGUCGAUACGGGCAGACUAGAGUGCGGUAGGGGAGACUGGAAUUCCUGGUGUAGCGGUGAAAUGCGCAGAUAUCAGGAGGAACACCGGUGGCGAAGGCGGGUCUCUGGGACGUAACUGACGCUGAGGAGCGAAAGCGUGGGGAGAGAACAGG